Molecule: long non-coding RNA, 2235 nt
Organism: Callithrix jacchus (white-tufted-ear marmoset)
Lineage: Eukaryota; Metazoa; Chordata; Mammalia; Primates; Cebidae
Source: Ensembl
CCUGAAUCCAAUGUUAUUUUAUUACCUAUCCUGAGCAAAUUUAUAAACGAGAAGAUUCCUCAGAAAAAGAAAACUAGACCCAGUGCUUAGUGCAGAGCUCAUCUGAGACUUUUCUGUUUUCUUAGGCACAUUAGCUGGGAUCACAAACCCAGAAGAAAGUUUAUGAAGUGCAGCGGUGCUCAGGCUUUUCCAUCGUCAACUCCUUGUAGAGCUCCAGUCUCUUAAGGUAAAGUUAUCACCCUAAGGAACCAAAUACAGCUCUGACUUGUCUCAGUCAGCAUUUCAGAUCUAUGAGUCCAAAAAAGGAAGAGUGAGAGAAGGAAAAAGAUGUUCAUUCCAGCAAAGAAAAAAAAGAACAGUUUCUUGCCAUAUUUCUCGAAGCUUUGAUUCAUCUUCCUGAGCCGUGAUCAUUAAUUCCUUCAAAAGCUCAAAGCCCUGUAAUUAGAGCACCUUAAAUUAUUCUGGCAUUUGGCCAAUUUAGAUUUGCGGUUCCAAUUUAUAGUCAUGACAUAGGGCCAAAAUAGGGCAAAUGCUUCCCUGCUUGAAGAUCUCAACAAGAUUGUGUGCAAUUAAAGGGAAUAUGACUUUCUAACAGAUACGUUAAUUAAUUACUGUAGUCUACAAUUUUCCUGACUGCUCCCACUGUUCUAAAAACCCUGUGCUGUGAUGUCAUGAUCGCUAAAACUUUCAACUCGAGAUACAUUUGCACUUCUCCGAAUGCUAUAUUUCUACUUGUCAGCUACCUAGAUAUUCUAAAUGAGUUAUAAAGGUUAAAGAUGGUUUCAUCUUUUUUUUUCUCCUUUAGGCUGGGAGAACAAGAAGUGAAAUAGGUAGAAUUAUGACCCCUUCAGUUAAUUUUUUUCCCUUUUUAACAGUGGUCUCUGAAGAUCUUCCAGUGCCUCUGACAAACUCUCAAAGAAGUGGGAUUUCAUGUCAAAAUAGUAACUGCUGAGAGCUGGAGUAUGUCAGUUCAACCCAAAUUCAGAGGGCACACAGCUGGAAAGAAAAUAGAAAUUCGUGACUAUGGAGUUAAUGCCCAACAGAUGUGGAGGUUACCAGUUAUUCCACUGAUCUUCCAGAGCAAGCGUGGAAAGAAUUUGAAACAACUCAAGCAAACAAGUACUCACUGUUUUAGUUUUUUUCUAAUUUGAAACAACUGAGUCUAUCUAGCACCAAGUAGAGAGAUUGCAUUUGUAUGAAUCACUGACAGAGUGAUUAAACCAGGUGGUUCUGAAUCCAUAGAUUUCCCAUUUUUGUGGUGUUCUCUUAUACUGUAUGCAUAUUUAGGCUUUAUCAUUUUGUUCACUAUAUUUUCUCUGUCAAGUUUUAGUGAGGCUUGGCUAUAUAGAUUGGAAUUCUUACACUGAGUAGAUUUUUAAAAUAUCUCAUUAGCUUUCCUUAUUUUAGUCAUAAUUGGUUGACAUGUUUGCUGAAUAAAGAGUUUACUGAAUUUCAUUUUUUUUUUACCCUAGUUCUGAAAACAGCUUAUGCAACUCUUAUGGCAUUGACAAGUUUAAUAUUUAUUGCUUGCCAUCCUACUGCCCAACAACACACCUUUAUUUUGGUUUUGCUUUUUAUAUCUGUGCUCUGAUCAUCAAAAUAUUUUUGAAACAAAAUUACUUAUACAGGCUACAUGACAUAACACAAAAUUUAAAAACCCACAACUAUUACCAGUAUCUAUCCCGUGAGUACACUGCCAUGAUAUUUAUUUUUAAAUGUCAUCUUUUAUUAUUGAGGUAUAAUAUCUGUGCAUAUUUGGGUGGGUACAUGUAAAAUAUCUGUAUAUAAUUUGGAAUGACCAGGAUAAUUGAGAUAUUCAUCACCUCAAACAUUUAACUUUUCUUUGUGUUGGGAACAUUAUAAGUAUUUUCUAGGAAUUUGGAAUUAUAUGGUAAUUUAUUGAAUGAUACAUUCAUAUUUUUAUCUUAUGCAAUAAAAUAGUGAUAUCCAGAAUAAAUUAUUUUUUCUUCCAUCUGGGUGUAUUUUUGCACUACUUAACCAAAUUCUCUCAAAUGACAUUUUAAGGUUGAUAAAACAAUUUGUUUUGAAGAAUCAGAGAUUUUUAAAAUAUACUUGUAUAGAUGAUUAAAUGAAAAAGGGACAAAGACAAAGAGAGAGGGCGGUAAGAAAUAGAAGAAAAAAGAGAGGAAUAAAUCAUUUGGGGCUAGGAUUAUCUCUUCCUUUGUGAGAACUGAAUAUAAAGAAAAGUGGAACAAAUUAUAGCCACAACUGCCA